RNAcentral lists this long non-coding RNA (334 nucleotides) under Phascolarctos cinereus (koala). RNAcentral describes it as "lncRNA (ENSPCIG00000036100.1)". Lineage: Eukaryota; Metazoa; Chordata; Mammalia; Diprotodontia; Phascolarctidae. The record is from RNAcentral.
AAAUGAUAAUACAGAAAGGCGGAGGGGUAGCUCGGUGGCUGGCCUUUCUUCCACGCAACCAGAGGAGGAAAGAUAGGAAACUGAUCGAGGAGGGGAAAGCCCCUCCUGCAGCCUGGCGGAGGGAGGAGAAACCCCGGGAAGAGAUCGGAUGGAGGACCUCCAAAAAGGCAUUCCAUCAAGAGUCUUAACUUCGGCCCAUUGUCCGCGAAGAAGACGAAGGGCCCUACCUGGUUCUAUGACAGCCCAGUUCGUUGGAUAGGAAUGGCCCUUGGAUUUUUCCAAGGGAGCACCGGUUCUGAUUGGUGGGAAAACUUAAUUUCUACCUUUGGGAACU